AGGAAGUUCAGGUGAGAUAUCCAGUAAGUUUGGCCAUGACUGGACCCUUCCCACACACCAGACAGGUUUACAGCUUUUCUCCAGUGUGAAAUCUCUACAUUGAUCGUACAGAGUGAAAGCUUUCCCGCAGAACUUCAUGAACAAUACGGCUUUUCUCCUGUGUGGUCCUUUCCUUCCAUUGAGAGAAGAUCAGCUGUUAGUUGUCAGUGACUCCAGCGAGCUCCAGCGAUGCCUAAGUGAUGUUUUGCUCUUCUGGAGAAUCAGCACGACAAGCUGAAGGAUCAACCAACCCACCACUGUGAUGGAUCCUCACUCACACCUCUUUCUGUGGAACGUCACCAUUAGUAUCAUCUGAUAUAGCAGAGCUGUAGUUCUAACAUCACACAGGCAAGUUGUGACUAACUGCUACACACAAAUAUACAUGCACAAUAAAGGUUCUCUCGCCUGAAGAAUAUGUGUUCUGAAUUAAAAUGGUCUUGUGCAAUGUCAUUUUAUUGAAAUUUGAAUUUGAUAAAAGUCCCCUGUCAAGUAUUUGUUUGUCCACCUGGUGGCACAAUAGGGCAAUAAACUCAUAAUCUGAGCUUCAGCAGUGUAAUUCUUUUUACAAAGAUAAAAUAUGAUGCUGUUAUCAAAUGAAGGGAGUGAGGAUGAGUACUUAUGCAAUCAUUUAUGUUUAACUUUUUAAAAUUAAUUUUCUUUUUUUUUAAAUUUUUGUUGGGUGUCAGUUUUAAAAGACAAAGACCCCACAAGCAUUUGUGUGUUAUGUGUGGUCUGAUGGUGUAAUGGUAUGGUAUGGUGGUCUGAUGGUAAAGGGCUUGCCUCUCAACUCUGAGGUUGUUGGUUCGGUUCCUGCUUGGACGCACACUCCCUGUGCUGGGAUAUGAGUGGAGUGAGUAGUUGGAGGUGGACUCUCAGGGUUGGAACUGGAGAGUGGCAAGAGGGCAGAGUGCCGCAAUGGGUGAGUGAGGUGGGGGAGGAAAAGGUGAUGCAGGACAAAAAAAAUGAGCAGUAGUGGUAAUAUCGUGGAGCCUGUUGUUGUGCUGUCAUUCCACAGGUACAUGCCUUAGCCACCCUACCUUCCUUGGUGGUAUGCUUAUUAGUGUUUGUGGCUGUCUCCACCCACUCAGUGGUGACCACAGUCAUGUCACCCCAACCAUAUAAGUCCCCUUGUGGUCUUGUGACCAGCACUGGUCACAUGUCUUUGCCCCACGGGGGUUUAUUACAUUGCUCUGCUGCUUUUGCCGUCUCGUGCUGAUGUAGCCCGUGUCUGCUUUUGCCCUCUCACAUGGUACACAGCUGCUUUUACCUUUUCAUGCUGUCCAUGGCUGCUUUUGCCUUCUCAUACCCACACUGUCCAUGGCUGCUUUUGCCCUCUUUGUCUUUUAGCUGACAGCUGCUUUUGCCCUCUCAUACCUACACAGUCCGUGGCUGCUUUUGCCCUCUUAGUCUGCAGCUGCCAUUUCAUGCCCACGGCUACUUUCACCUUCUCACACCCACACUGUCCGUGGCUGAUUUUGCCCUCUUUGGCUUUUAGUCCACACGGGACAUUUUCUUUUCGGUGCCUUCUACAUCUCUGUUCAUAUCGGGCUGGUUGGGGUUUGAACUCAAGAUCUGCCAUCUAUCAAACCAACACUUAUCCCCUUGAACCACAUGAGCUCAUAUUGGCUUUUUGUCACAUUUGUCUAAUCAACUCUGCACCAAGAUUUUAAAUUGAAAGAAAUAAAAAUGCAAAAAAAAGCAGCAGAGUAAGAUGUAGGUUUGAUCCUAGCAUCUUACACAGCGGCAGCCACAGCUCUAACCACUACACUGUGCCUGGAUGAGAGGUGUUGCUGCUAAUUUAACUUUUGUCUUAAGCCUUAAAUUGACCUCGAGGUUAAAAAUAAGAUGAAAGAACACCAGAUUCAUAGAUUCAAACCAAGAACCUCACACGCCAGAGCCCAUAGUGUUACCCACUACACCAUUAUCAUUGCUGGUUGUGCUCUUGUAUAAUGCUCCUAUAGUAUGCUCCUGAGCUAAAGCUGCUUAAAAAUGUAGAAAGUAGAGAUUUGAACCCAGGAUCAUGCACAACAAAAUCCAUGAUGCUACUCACUACACUACAGAAAGAUGGGGUAAGAUUGCUGCUUAUUGGACUUUUGCCUUUAUUACACUGUAAAGGGCCCUAAAGAGAUGAAAAAUAUAAAUAAAAAGGUUAAGGAGCUCCAAGCUACAGAGACUUAAACCAGCCAUUUCACUUACUGGUGGCAACGACCUUAGCCGCUACACCAUUUCAGGGUACUAAUAGGUUUUGUUUGUUAGAGUGUAGUCUUAAUAAGCAGUAAGCCUGUUUAACAAAAAUAAAAUAAAAAAAAUUAAUUGAGCUAAAUAAAAUGCUUUGUGAAGCUUAAGACACAUCUUUAUAAAAUUUUUCACCUUCAGUUAAUAAAAUAAAAUAAGACAGAUUCAAACCAGGGACAUUAUAAGUCACAACCCAUCACACUAACCACUGUACCACAACAAACAUUGCAAUUUGUUGAUUUUUUUGUUGCUGAAUGUCUGAAAUCUGCCUGAAUGAAAAUGAAAGAAAGACAGAGGUUCAAACCAAGCACCUCACACACCAGAGCCAAGCCUUUAACCAUUAACCUAUUGUGUCUAUUGGUUACUCAAUGUGAUCAAGACCUAAUGAUAGCACAAAGACACAGAGAAUAAACAAAGGACCUUACACACAAGAGCCCAUGAUGCAACCCAUUACACCAUAAGCUAAAGCUUAUAAAAUGUUUAAAAAAACAGUAGAAGGCUACUCUCUACACCACAGAAAGAUGGGUGCGAGUGCUGCCUAUUAAACUUUGUCUUAAUUACCCCUUAAAUGGCCUUGAAUACAUUAUAAAGAAGAGAAGAACCUGCAAGCCACAGAGACUUGAACCAGCCAUUUCACACACCAGGGGUAAUAACCUUAACCACUAGCCUAUUAGAAUUUAGCGUCCAAGGGGUACUCCCUGUGAUCAUGACUUGAAGAUAGAAACAGAUCCACACCAGUGGCCAGUAACCACUACAGGACAAUAAGUACAGUUGAACAGCCUGUUAGACUUUUGUGUUAACUGACCUAAAGCUACAAAAAAAUAACCAGUUAACAACUACAUCACCACAAGAGAACUGAUAAAGUUGCCUGUUGGAUAUUUGUGUCCCCUGGAGCUCAACAUGAUCUUUACUUAAAGCUAGACACAGACAGAAACCAGGGACCUCACAAACAGAGCACUAACCCUUAUACCACCACAGAUGCUGUUGUUUAUUGGGCUUACUGAAAGGCUCAAAGCGAUCCUCUUUAAACCAGGUAAUACAUGAAGAGAGCUAAAUUAAAAGUUCUGUGAAAUCUAACAAACAUCUCUAUACCUUCAUGAAACUAACCUUUUCCUAGAGUGACAGCAAAGACAAGAGGGACUCAAACCACAAACCUUACGCAGCAGAGUCUGCUACACUGACCACUACACCACAGAAAGGACAGCUAGUGGAAGGACUUUGUCUUAAUAAAUGGCUGAAAGCAAAGUGUUGCCUAGAUCACACACCUGUGCUGUGUGUGUUCAAACUGUACAUUUCUGAUUAAUGAACUGAUGGAAGAUGAGAUGUUGAUGUUAUUGGUUAUGGAACUCAAACUCUGUGCCUUUGCCACCCCUGCUUUAAAGGAGCUAGUACUGUAACUUCAGCUAUGAACACGCAUGAUGUGUUAAUAUUUGACUCACUUUAAAAUGAGAUAUCUUAUUCAUGAUAGAAUGAACCAUUUAUGUUCUUAGUGAGAUGUUUAUACUCGGUUUAUUUAUCUGGUGCUAUUUAUAAGUUCACAUGUCCAAAUCCUGUUUUUCUCUACGAUUUUAGCAAAAUUGCUAAAUAGUGAAGGUGUACUCCUGCCUAUGUGUAAGUAAGAGACAGCUAUAUGAAAAACGAGCAAUGACAGUGUGAUGUAAAGCGUUAAAUUUCUACUUAUAUCAUAUCAACAUGCCAAAAAGAUUAAAGAAAAAUCUUUUAUUUUUGUUUUAAUAUGUAAAAUUAAGCUAUAACAACGGACAGCAAGGCAAACAAGCAUUUUCUAAAUACUUAAAUAAUACUUAAAAAAAUAACAUUUAUCAUGGAAUAAUACUGUUGUAAUCUCUGAAAAAACCCCAGUAAUAUUCACUUAUGAAAUUUUAACAACCAAAAUGUAAUGUUUUGCUGCAGCUUCUCUUUGAGUACAGUAAAACAGUAAAAGUACAGAAAUCUACAAAUUAAACACUGAAAAAAGAAUUGCACUAUGCAUCCCAUGGUGAAAAACAUUACUCUACAUUACAACAAACACUAGAUGACAGCACCAUUUAUUUAAUGUUUAAACAGUAACAUAGAGACAAAUCAAACCUUCAAAACAGUCAAAAUUGUAUUAAUGAUUUAUUUAGCACUGGAGCAAUCUUCACAACUCUAUUCAUCCAGAAAGAUCCGCUGAGGCGACUAAUGUCCAUAUACAAGGUUUUCUAUGGGUGUAACCUACAAUUUCACUUGUAUUAUUGUGGCUUCCGAGUCCUACAGCUCCCGGCCGGGGUCCUGGUGGAAGAAGAAAGAAGUCCGUCUAGGCUUUUAUUGUGAAGGGAUUGCACAGGAAGACAAUAAGAAAACAUCAAAUGGAAAAGAAAUACUCAAAAAAGGUUCUGAUAAAUAAAAAAAUAAAAA
Tachysurus fulvidraco (yellow catfish) is the source of this 4668-nucleotide long non-coding RNA. RefSeq lists it as uncharacterized. Lineage: Eukaryota; Metazoa; Chordata; Actinopteri; Siluriformes; Bagridae. The record is from RefSeq and is a predicted model, not a curated record. The transcript is spliced from 2 exons.